CCCUUAGAUGUUCUGGGCCGCACGCGCGAUACACUGAUGCAUUCAACGAGUCUAAAACCUGCUCUGAUAGGGGUGGGUAAUCUUUUGAAUGUGCAUCGUGAUUGGGAUAGAUGAUUGCAAUUUUUCAUCUUCAACGAGGAAUGCCUAGUAAACGCAAGUCAUCAGCUUGCAUUGAUUACGUCCCUGCCCUUUGUACACACCGCCCGUCGCUCCUACCGAUUGAAUGAUCCGAUGAAUAUCAUGGAUUGAGGAUGCAAGUAGGUUCGCCUAUCUUCAUCUUCGAGAAGUGAAGUAAAUCUUAUCAUUUAGAGGAAGGAGAAGUCGUAACA
This 329-nucleotide ribosomal RNA is filed under the name uncultured eukaryote. Its description in RNAcentral is "partial 18S ribosomal RNA". It matches the Rfam family "Eukaryotic small subunit ribosomal RNA", at positions 1470 to 1796 of the family's 1831-position model. The record is from RNAcentral.